UAACCUACCCUUGGGACUGGAAUAACCCCGGGAAACUGGGGAUAAUACCGGAUAGAUCAGGGAUGCUGGAAUGCACCUUGAUCCAAAGCUCCGGCGCCYAAGGAUGGGUCUGCGGCCUAUCAGGUAGUAGUGGGUGUAACGUACCUACUAGCCAACGACGGGUACGGGUUGUGAGAGCAAGAGCCCGGAGAUGGAUUCUGAGACACGAAUCCAGGCCCUACGGGGUGCAGCAGGCGCGAAACCUUUACAAUGUGCGAAAGCAUGAUAAGGGAACUCCGAGUGCCAGUAUCUAAUACUGGCUGUCCUUGUGCCUAAAACGCACAAGAUAGCAAGGGCCGGGUAAGACCGGUGCCAGCCGCCGCGGUAACACCGGCGGCCCGAGUGGUAGCCGCUAUUAUUGGGUCUAAAGGGUCCGUAGCCGGUUCGAUAAGUCCUCUGGGAAAUCUGGUUGCUUAACAAUCAGACUGCCAAGGGAUACUGUCGAACUUGAGACCGGGAGAGGUAAGAGGUACUUCAGGGGUAGGAGUGAAAUCUUGUAAUCCCUGGGGGACCAUCUGUGGCGAAGGCGUCUUACCAGAACGGGUCUGACGGUGAGGGACGAAAGCUGGGGGCGCAAACCGGAUUAGAUACCCGGGUAGUCCCAGCCGUAAACGAUGCUCGCUAUGUGUCAGGUACGGUGUGACCGUAUCUGGUGCCGUAGGGAAGCCGUGAAGCGAGCCACCUGGGAAGUACGGYCGCAAGGCUGAAACUUAA
RNAcentral lists this ribosomal RNA (753 nucleotides) under uncultured methane-oxidizing archaeon. Its description in RNAcentral is "bacterial SSU rRNA". It matches the Rfam family "Archaeal small subunit ribosomal RNA", at positions 105 to 859 of the family's 1478-position model. The record is from RNAcentral.